RNAcentral lists this ribosomal RNA (253 nucleotides) under uncultured bacterium. Its description in RNAcentral is "partial 16S ribosomal RNA". It matches the Rfam family "Bacterial small subunit ribosomal RNA", at positions 524 to 776 of the family's 1533-position model. The record is from RNAcentral.
UACGUAGGGUGCAAGCGUUAUCCGGAUUCACUGGGUUUAAAGGGUGCGUAGGUGGGCUAGUAAGUCCGUGGUGAAAUCCCUGAGCUUAACUUGGGAACUGCCAUUGAUACUAUUAGUCUUGAAUAUCGUGGAGGUAAGCGGAAUAUGUCAUGUAGCGGUGAAAUGCUUAGAUAUGACAUAGAACACCAAUUGCGAAGGCAGCUUGCUACACGGUCAUUGACACUGAGGCACGAAAGCUAGGGGAGUGAAUGGG